This 440-nucleotide ribosomal RNA is filed under the name uncultured bacterium. RNAcentral describes it as "bacterial SSU rRNA". It matches the Rfam family "Bacterial small subunit ribosomal RNA", at positions 954 to 1392 of the family's 1533-position model. The record is from RNAcentral.
GCUAAACGCGAAGAACCUUACCUGGCCUUGACAUAUCCGGAAUUCUGCAGAGAUGCGGAAGUGCCUUCGGGAAUCGGAACACAGGUGCUGCAUGGCUGUCGUCAGCUCGUGUCGUGAGAUGUUGGGUUAAGUCCCGCAACGAGCGCAACCCUUGUCCUUAGUUGCCAGCGAGUAAUGUCGGGAACUCUAAGGAGACUGCCGGUGACAAACCGGAGGAAGGUGGGGAUGACGUCAAGUCCUCAUGGCCCUUACGGCCAGGGCUACACACGUACUACAAUGGUCGGUACAGAGGGUUGCCAAACCGCAAGGUGGAGCCAAUCCCAGAAAGCCGAUCCCAGUCCGGAUCGGAGUCUGCAACUCGACUCCGUGAAGUCGGAAUCGCUAGUAAUCGCGGAUCAGCUAUGCCGCGGUGAAUACGUUCCCGGGUCUUGUACACACCG